UAGCUCAGUUAGUAGAGUGUUUGCCUCACAUGCACAAGGCCCUGGGUUCAAUACCCAG
Molecule: transfer RNA, 58 nt
Filed under: Ictidomys tridecemlineatus (thirteen-lined ground squirrel)
Lineage: Eukaryota; Metazoa; Chordata; Mammalia; Rodentia; Sciuridae
Description: Spermophilus tridecemlineatus (thirteen-lined ground squirrel) tRNA
Rfam family: tRNA
About the family: Transfer RNA (tRNA) molecules are approximately 80 nucleotides in length. Their secondary structure includes four short double-helical elements and three loops (D, anti-codon, and T loops).
Source: Rfam by way of RNAcentral